This 465-nucleotide ribosomal RNA is filed under the name uncultured bacterium. Its description in RNAcentral is "partial 16S ribosomal RNA". It matches the Rfam family "Bacterial small subunit ribosomal RNA", at positions 28 to 507 of the family's 1533-position model. The record is from RNAcentral.
GAUGAACGCUGGCGGCGUGCCUAACACAUGCAAGUCGAGCGGAGAAUUGUUGCUUGCAACAAUUCUUAGCGGCGGACGGGUGAGUAACACGUGGGUAACCUGCCCUAAACAAAGGGAUAACAAUGAGAAAUCAUUGCUAAUACCGUAUAAGCUUACACUAUCGCAUGAUAGAGUAAGAAAAGAUUUAUCGGUUUAGGAGGGGCCCGCGUCUGAUUAGCUAGUUGGAGAGGUAACGGCUCACCAAGGCGACGAUCAGUAGCCGACCUGAGAGGGUGAUCGGCCACAUUGGGACUGAGACACGGCCCAAACUCCUACGGGAGGCGGCAGUGGGGAAUAUUGCACAAUGGAGGAAACUCUGAUGCAGCAACGCCGCGUGAAGGAAGAAGGUUUUCGGAUCGUAAACUUCUAUCUACAGGGAAGAAAAAAAUGACGGUACCUGAGGAAGAAGCCCCGGCUAACUACGUG